GGAUUCGGCCAUGCCACCCAGAACACGCCCGAUCCCGGAUAAACAGGGUCGGGCCUGGUUAGUACUUGCAUGGGAGACCACCUAGGAAGACCGGGUGCUGUAGGCG
RNAcentral lists this ribosomal RNA (106 nucleotides) under Pteropus alecto (black flying fox). Lineage: Eukaryota; Metazoa; Chordata; Mammalia; Chiroptera; Pteropodidae. The record is from RNAcentral.